CCUACGGGGGGCAGCAGUGAGGAAUAUUGGUCAAUGGGCGCGAGCCUGAACCAGCCAAGUCGCGUGAGGGAAGACGGUCCUAUGGAUUGUAAACCUCUUUUGUCGGGGAGCAAAAGUCGCCACGCGUGUCGUUCCGAGAGUACUCUAAGAAAAAGCAUCGGCUAACUCCGUGCCAGCAGCCGCGGUAAUACGGAGGAUGCGAGCGUUAUCCGGAUUUAUUGGGUUUAAAGGGUGCGCAGGCGGAAGAUAAAGUCAGAGGUAAAAUCGCGAGGCUAAACCUCUUAGAGCCGUUGAAACUGUUUUUCUUGAGUGAGUGAGAAGUAGGCGGAAUGCGUGGUGUAGCGGUGAAAUGCAUAGAUAUCACGCAGAACUCCGAUUGCGAAGGCAGCAUACCGGCGCUCAACUGACGCUGAUGCACGAAAGUGUGGGUAUCGAACAGGAGUAGAUACCCCUGUAGUC
RNAcentral lists this ribosomal RNA (459 nucleotides) under uncultured bacterium. Its description in RNAcentral is "partial 16S ribosomal RNA". It matches the Rfam family "Bacterial small subunit ribosomal RNA", at positions 338 to 795 of the family's 1533-position model. The record is from RNAcentral.